UUAUGGCUCAGGACGAACGCUGGCGGCGUGCUUAACACCUGCAAGUCGAACGAGAAUCUAUGGAUCGAGGAUUCGUCCAAGUGAAGUAGAGGACAGUGGCGGACGGGUGAGUAACGCGUGAGGAACCUGCCUUUCAGAGGGGGACAACAGUUGGAAACGACUGCUAAUACCGCAUGACACAUAGAGAUCGCAUGGUUUUUAUGUCAAAGAUUUAUCACUGAAAGAUGGCCUCGCGUCUGAUUAGCUAGUUGGUGAGGUAACGGCCCACCAAGGCGACGAUCAGUAGCCGGACUGAGAGGUUGACCGGCCACAUUGGGACUGAGAUACGGCCCAGACUCCUACGGGAGGCAGCAGUGGGGAAUAUUGGGCAAUGGGCGCAAGCCUGACCCAGCAACGCCGCGUGAAGGAAGAAGGCUUUCGGGUUGUAAACUUCUUUUGUCGGGGACGAGUAGAAGACGGUACCUGGCGAAUAAGCCACGGCUAACUACGUGCCAGCAGCCGCGGUAAUACGUAGGUGGCAAGCGUUGUCCGGAUUUACUGGGUGUAAAGGGCGUGUAGCCGGGAAGGCAAGUCAGAUGUGAAAUCCACGGGCUUAACUCGUGAACUGCAUUUGAAACUGUUUUUCUUGAGUAUCGGAGAGGCAAUCGGAAUUCCUAGUGUAGCGGUGAAAUGCGUAGAUAUUAGGAGGAACACCAGUGGCGAAGGCGGAUUGCUGGACGACAACUGACGGUGAGGCGCGAAAGCGUGGGGAGCAAACAGGAUUAGAUACCCUGGUAGUCCACGCUGUAAACGAUGAAUACUAGGUGUGCGGGGACUGACCCCCUGCGUGCCGCAGUUAACACAAUAAGUAUUCCACCUGGGGAGUACGAUCGCAAGGUUGCAACUCAAAUGAAUUGACGGA
RNAcentral lists this ribosomal RNA (901 nucleotides) under uncultured Bacillota bacterium. RNAcentral describes it as "bacterial SSU rRNA". It matches the Rfam family "Bacterial small subunit ribosomal RNA", at positions 17 to 917 of the family's 1533-position model. Lineage: Bacteria; Bacillati; Bacillota. The record is from RNAcentral.